RNAcentral lists this non-coding RNA (147 nucleotides) under Brevibacillus parabrevis. RNAcentral describes it as "FMN sequence". It matches the Rfam family "FMN riboswitch aptamer (RFN element)". Rfam says of the family: The RFN element is a highly conserved domain that is found frequently in the 5'-untranslated regions of prokaryotic mRNAs that encode for flavin mononucleotide (FMN) biosynthesis and transport proteins. This element is a metabolite-dependent riboswitch that directly binds FMN in the absence of proteins. In Bacillus subtilis, the riboswitch most likely controls gene expression by causing premature transcription termination within the 5' untranslated region of the ribDEAHT operon and precluding access to the ribosome-binding site of ypaA mRNA. The record is from RNAcentral. Lineage: Bacteria; Bacillati; Bacillota; Bacilli; Caryophanales; Paenibacillaceae.
ACCAGCCUUCAGGGUAGGGUGAAAUUCCCGACCGGCGGUAAUGACGAACGCACGUCUGAGCCCGCGACUCGCUAUUGCUGUAUGGAUAGCGACUGACUUGGUGCAAAUCCAAGGCCGACGGUAAAGUCCGGAUGGGAGAAGGUGUCU